RNAcentral lists this ribosomal RNA (208 nucleotides) under uncultured bacterium. RNAcentral's name for it is "partial 16S ribosomal RNA". It matches the Rfam family "Bacterial small subunit ribosomal RNA", at positions 568 to 774 of the family's 1533-position model. The record is from RNAcentral.
CGUGUAGGCGGUGUGGUAAGUCGGAUGUGAAAUCUCUAGGCUCAACCUGGAAACUGCAUUCGAAACUGCCAUGCUUGAGUACCGGAGAGGGAAACGGAAUUCCUGGUGUAGGGGUGAAAUCUGUAGAUAUCAGGAAGAACACCGGUGGCGAAGGCGGUUUCCUGGCCGGAUACUGACGCUGAGGCGCGAAAGCUAGGGGAAGCAAACA